RNAcentral lists this ribosomal RNA (578 nucleotides) under uncultured bacterium. RNAcentral describes it as "partial 16S ribosomal RNA". It matches the Rfam family "Bacterial small subunit ribosomal RNA", at positions 355 to 926 of the family's 1533-position model. The record is from RNAcentral.
UGGGGAAUUUUGGACAAUGGGCGAAAGCCUGAUCCAGCAAUGCCGCGUGUGUGAAGAAGGCCUUCGGGUUGUAAAGCACUUUUGUCCGGAAAGAAAUCCUUGGCUCUAAUACAGUCGGGGGAUGACGGUACCGGAAGAAUAAGCACCGGCUAACUACGUGCCAGCAGCCGCGGUAAUACGUAGGGUGCAAGCGUUAAUCGGAAUUACUGGGCGUAAAGCGUGCGCAGGCGGUUUGCUAAGACCGAUGUGAAAUCCCCGGGCUCAACCUGGGAACUGCAUUGGUGACUGGCAGGCUAGAGUAUGGCAGAGGGGGGUAGAAUUCCACGUGUAGCAGUGAAAUGCGUAGAGAUGUGGAGGAAUACCGAUGGCGAAGGCAGCCCCCUGGGCCAAUACUGACGCUCAUGCACGAAAGCGUGGGGAGCAAACAGGAUUAGAUACCCUGGUAGUCCACGCCCUAAACGAUGUCAACUAGUUGUUGGGGAUUCAUUUCCUUAGUAACGUAGCUAACGCGUGAAGUUGACCGCCUGGGGAGUACGGUCGCAAGAUUAAAACUCAAAGGAAUUGACGGGGUCAUGCUG